UACGUAGGGUCCGAGCGUUGUCCGGAAUUACUGGGCGUAAAGGGCGCGUAGGUGGUGGCUUAAGCGUGCGGUGAAAGCUCGGGGCUCAACUCCGAGUCGGCCGUGCGAACUGGGCUCACUGGAGCAUAGUAGAGGCAGGUGGAAUUCCGGGUGUAGCGGUGGAAUGCGCAGAUAUCAGGAGGAACACCGGUGGCGAAGGCGGGUCUCUGGGCAGUAACUGACGCUGAGGAGCGAAAGCGUGGGGAGCGAACAGG
Molecule: ribosomal RNA, 254 nt
Filed under: uncultured bacterium
Lineage: Bacteria
Description: partial 16S ribosomal RNA
Rfam family: Bacterial small subunit ribosomal RNA
Source: RNAcentral